CCAGUAUUUUCCUUUUCCUUUCUGUUAUACUAAAUCAUUAUUUAUUUAAUUACCUUAUUACCACUCAUAUCAUAUACUAAUACUAGUAUACUACUAUCAGGCUAUGGAUCUUGCGACUACCCUGCUUCUCCAAGGUACAUAUAUGAUAUAAUGAUCUGGAUCAUCAUCAAGUUGCCGCCCUUGCAAGUUGCUUUAUCCCCGGAGAUACGUCAAAUGAGCAGAUUCAUCUGCGAGCGGAACUUGCAAAACCCUUACAGCAACUCCAAGACAGUGCAUGAAGAAUAGCACAGGACAACAAAAAUGCAACCUCUUAUCGCAACAAGUGCAUAGAGAAUUGGGAAGAUAUAUGCACUUUAUUUGGUGCAGAUAGAGCUGUUGGGGAUGGUUCAGAACAACAUGAUGAGGCAGCGGACGCCAUGGAGGAGGAAAUGAUAAGUGAAGGAAAGAGCUCAUCCAAGGAUCCAACUGUUUCGGGCUCUCGCAAGCGCAAAAAGAUAGGCUGAUGCGGUCAAUAGUUUUGCUGAGUCCUUCAGAGAAUAUGUGCAAAGCAAAGUGAAUGACACCCCGAAACCCACUUGUCAAGAGAUAUAUACCGUUGUGUUUGAAGUAUAUGGCAUUUCUAGGAAUCAAAUUAUGAGGGCAGUAAAAAGGUUUAUGAAUGGUAAUCCCGACGAGUUUUUAAUGUUGAAAGAGUUAUCGGAGGAUGAGAAACUUGAUUGGGUACUCUUGUGCCUUGUUGAGUAGUUUGACUCACUUUCAUAUGUCAUUGUAGGUUUUUCUCGUUACUUUUAUCAAAUACUACUUUUAAAUGUCGCUCUCGAUGUUGAGAUAACUUUUGUUAUAACAAUUUUGGAUUGUUAGAAUGUCAAAUGCCUUUUAUUUGUUAAGGA
Long non-coding RNA from Beta vulgaris subsp. vulgaris (sugar beet), 890 nucleotides. RefSeq lists it as uncharacterized. The transcript is spliced from 3 exons. NCBI's taxonomy places the organism in Eukaryota, Viridiplantae, Streptophyta, Magnoliopsida, Caryophyllales, Amaranthaceae. The record is from RefSeq and is a predicted model, not a curated record.